RNAcentral lists this ribosomal RNA (429 nucleotides) under uncultured bacterium. RNAcentral's name for it is "bacterial SSU rRNA". It matches the Rfam family "Bacterial small subunit ribosomal RNA", at positions 355 to 786 of the family's 1533-position model. The record is from RNAcentral.
UGGGGAAUAUUGGACAAUGGGCGGAAGCCUGAUCCAGCAACGCCGCGUGAGGGAUGACGGCCUUCGGGUUGUAAACCUCUUUCAUCAUCGACGAAGCUCCAUGUUGAUUGGGGUGACGGUAGGUGGAGAAGAAGCACCGGCCAACUACGUGCCAGCAGCCGCGGUAAUACGUAGGGUGCGAGCGUUGUCCGGAAUCACUGGGCGUAAGGGGCGCGUAGGCGGCCUGAUAAGUAGGGGUGAAAUCCUGCGGCUUAACCGCAGGGCUGCCUUCUAAACUGUCAGGCUAGAGCACAGUAGAGGCAGGUGGAAUUCCCGGUGUAGCGGUGGAAUGCGUAGAGAUCGGGAAGAACAUCAGUGGCGAAGGCGGCCUGCUGGGCUGUUGCUGACGCUGAGGCGCGACAGCGUGGGGAGCAAACAGGAUUAGAUACC